AUACUGACCAAAAGCAGUUUGGGAGAGGAGUUUAUUUGCCUUACAGUCUAUGAUCCAAAGAAGUCAAGGCUAAGGCUCAUAGCAGGAACUGAAACAAAGACCAUAGCUCCUGGCUCAUUCUCCCUUGACUUGUUCAGCUAUCAUUCUUGUAAAGUCCAGGCUCACUCACCCAGAGAUCACAAGGCACACUGUGACCUGGCUCUCCUAUGACAAUUAGCAGUCAAGAAAAUACCCUACAGACAUUCCCAUUGUUUGAUCUGAUGGAGGCAAUUUCUCACUGGGGUUUAAUCUCCAGUUACCCCUCCUCCACAGGAAAAAAAAGGAGAAAGCAAAGGAAUUAUGUGUUUCUCAGCCUGAGUAUCUAGAGGGGAGCCUGGCUUCUGUGAGCAUUCUAUAAAAUUCUCAGUAAGUAGUUAGGCUCUGAGGAGAUGUGAAGGAGACAGACACCUAGAUUUGGCAUGUGCGCUCAGCUUCUUUAGGCUUCACCAUUAUGAUCUAGGCAGGGCUCAGGCAGACAUCCACAGACCAGACCAGAGCAGGUUGAAUACAGAGAAAGGGCCCAAUGGUGCUGAGGACUUGCAAAAGAAGGACAAACACAGAAGCCUAUCUUCUUCCCGGAAUUGCAUCACUCACCAGCCAGGCUGGUACUUCCUUGACUUGUGUAGCUGACAGGAGACUCCAACAAUAGCAGGCAGGCUAAGUGGCAGGUAGCUUCUAGGAAUUCCAGAAUACAGUUAUUGUGUUGUGAGGCCCUAUGGCCAACGCCAACCUGUGGUCUUAAGCCAUCUGAGGCAUCUGCUCUGGCCUAACAAACUGGACUGAUGGCCUGGAACCCAUCAACAGGACACAGGAACAAACCACAAAUGCAAUAGGCACAAGCCUGUAUACAUUUAGUUCAUGUGACAAAUACAUCAGGGUCUUCCUGGCCUCAUCACUAAAGACACCCUCCUCAACACACACACACACACACACACACACACACACACACACACACACACACACGUACGCACGCACGCACGCACGCACGCACGCAAAGAUGCAUUGAGGCUUGGUCUUCAUUCAAGGAUGGUCAGGACUUUCAGGAAAGAAAUAAGAGGUGGGCGGGUAGUAGGCCUCAAGUCCAGAAAACAUGGGGUGAUUAUAUUUUCACUGGUUUGAGAGAAAAGGGGAAGAAGAAAGCAACACAGUGAGUUUUGAAACAGCUAAAUUCAUGCCCUGUAAAGGAAUUCAGGGUGGUGUGUCCCGUGCUUUCAGAACAAUGCCGUUUCUUCUUUCUCGUGUGAAAUCAAGUUCAGAAUACAUGGCAGUCAGUUUAUAUCAUCUCAUAUUUGGCCCAAUAAAAAUAACAUCCAUUUCCACAUUCAUUAAUUGUUUUACUUAUUUAUGGGGGCACGUAGAGGUCAGAGGACAGCUUUUGGGAGCAAGUCCUCUUCUUCCACCAUGACUGGAGAAACAACUGGGUCUCGAGGACUGAAACCAGAUUGUCUGGCUUGGCAGCAAGCACCUCUUCCUGCUCAUGUCAGCCCUCACAGCAAUGUCUUGCCUUCACUCCCCACGGUUUUUGUUUUGUUUUGAGUACUGAUCUUUGGAAGCCAAAGGUCUGUGAAUCUUGAGGCGUAUGUUCCAGGUUUAAGUCAUGAAGCGUACAGUUUGCCUUGCUGAACAGGCUGUGGGCAUUGAGGAAAGAGGAACUCGGUGUGCUCUGCAUCAGGAGAUGGGGCCAGAAAGGAGUCAGAGGUGGGCGGAGCAGUCCUUCUGAGCAGCCUUUAGGAGGCAGUGGCCAUUGACAAGUGAGUGAGCAGAAGACACCGUCUCGCCUCUGCUGUCAGGGGACUAACCUGGGCUCCAGCAGAACAGACAGAUUAGAAAGGAAGGAGAUAAGAAGACAAAUGAUGCAAGACAUCAGAGAUAAAGACAGGGUUAGGUAAGGAGUCUGGUAGCCAAUGGCAAGGAACGAAGAAAUACGGCAAGACUUGCAGGCUGUCCUGUGACAUGCCAGCCUUGAGGACACAUUGGCAUGGACACAUCCAGCACAUUCAGCCACGCCGGAGAACAGUACAGAGCCAAGUCUUGAACAUGACAGGUAGCCUAUCCGGUCUCUGGGCCCACAGAUCCUAGAAUCAGAACAAUUUGGGGGCAAUUAUGAGCUCUGGGGUAAUGCCAACCCCGCCUAAACACAUUUGACCCAUUAGCUAGGCCAGUAAUCAGGUACUAUUGCCGAGUACCAUUCAAAGAUAAUCCAUUCAAAAGACUUUUGGGUAGCAGGCAAUUUAAGGGUGUUGGAAGGAUCUGCAAGUGUAGAUGGACACCUGGAAUUAGCACUUGUUCUCAGCAGAAUGGUGCCCAUAAGGCGAAGUCAUGGGCCCUAGCUAAAAAGCCACUCUUCUGCCCCAACCAACUGAUGCAAUGUGGAAACGAGAUUUGAUCUUUGGAAAUUUUUUUUAAAAGACUGGCUAUCUGGAAGCUUACUUAGUGAGCUAACUCAAGCUUAAACUACAACGACGUUACUGGAGUUAAAAUGUGUUUUACUUGCAAGCUGAAUUUGUUCCACAGACCUCUAGUCUGAGACCUUUGGCCUAGAGAUUAGAGAAUCAUUAAGCCCAUAUAUCUAUAACCUGAAUCUGGGACCCUGUGUUCUCUACCUGACAAAACAAAACAGCAAAGCAAAACAGAAUGGAGCAGAGACAGAGAAGUGGGUUUUUGAAAACUAGGUUUACUUAACAGUUUGUCCAAAAUGGAGAGAGAGAGGGGAAAAUUACUAGUUUGUCAAUACCCCGUAGCAGUGCUACGAUUUAUAAAAAAAGAUGUAACAAACCUCCUUUAAGGUGAAGAAGGCAUAGAGAGAAUGUAACUCAGGGAGAAGAGGCCUUGGAAAUGCCAUCAUCUGAGCAUGACACAGCCUUUGCCACCAUGAACUUGGCAGCUGUGGGUGCCUGCUCUGAGCCUGUACAAGAGUGGCUCUUUGAACUGUCAAUCAUUGAGUCCUCGCUCUCCCCGAAGAACUAUUGGCUACUGCUAACCCCACCAAGUUCCAGUGUUUAGAUUAAUAACCAAAGCCAGGAAAUAAGGCAUUGUGGGCUGAACACGUGAUGCAUGUGUCAUAGGUGUGAGGAGCCUGUGCUGCAGGGGGUUGCCUUUCUGCAGGGGACUUUGGGCUGUUCUCACCCGUACCAGUGGUUUCAUGGAGAAAAUUACCCAUUGCAGCCCAGGUGAGACUGUUACAGGCCCACAAUGAGUAAGCAAAUAUAUGCCAGCAAGAAGACAAGCGAAGCCAUUAAUGAUACAGAAGCUGUACUAUGCUGUCCAAUCUCCGUUUCAGAGACAAGGAAUGGUUUCUCCUGCUGAUGGGUAUGGUGCUUGCUCACAGCCCAUAAGUCCAAAGCUGGUGACUUUUCAGAGUUGUUGUGAGUAGAAGGUAGGGUUCUCAGAAAUUUCUGUUCCUGUGUGGACAUGUCAUGGACUGCAGUCUGCUCUCAUCACCCCUGAGGAAGGUCAUAUCACCCAGUGUACCCGCGAAUCUACACAGAUGAGAUGAAAGAGCCGAGCAGCACUGCGGGGACCAAUGAUCAGACAGAAGCCAUUUCCAGAGCAUGCUGGGUGAUGGCAGGCAUUGGAGCUAGGGCGUCCAUCUUGUUCUUUCUGGUGAUGAGAGGUCAGGGCCCCAGAGUGGGAGCUUGAUGGAACAAGACUAAAUUUUUAUUAUGACAAAACACGUGUAACAAAAUUUACCUUUAAACCAUUUUAUGAUUCUGGUUUAGUGACUUGGACACUUUUACCAUAAUGUGCCACCAUCAGUGUGCAAGUCCAGAAUUUCCAUCAACUCAAACAGAAGUCUGGAUUCAUUAAGCAGUAACUCCUUAGUCUCUCUUGGGUAACCUCUACUUUCUGAGUUUUCCUGCCCUGGGUGACUUACAAGGUACCUGUCCUUUUGUGCCUGUUGUCAUUCAAUAAGGGGGAAGAUUGCAAAGUGCAUCCAAGUCAUGUUUUAGUGCUCGCUUCCUUCCAAAUGCUGAAUGACAUCCCUUGUAAGGGUGUACCAUACUUUGUAUUUCUAUACUUUGCAAAUGUACAUGGGCUGGUUCUGUUUUCUAGCUAUUGCAAGCAAUAUUAGUAUAAAUUCCGGUGUGGGGUAACAGGGUCUUAUUUGUUGUUUGUUUUCAUUUUUCAUUUUUUUGUUUCUGUAUUCAGCUCACUUCUAAUACACUAAAGCAUGAGUUCUGAGAAGAUUAGCUAAUGCAGUCUCUCAUGACUAGUUGAGGAAGCAAAGGCUAUACAAUGCCAAGCCUCUCAUCCAUUUAGUGGCAGCACUAACAGAUGGUAUUAAGGCCAUGAGCUUUGGUUUGGAUCUGAAAUGUGGCCCACAGGAUAAUGUUUUGAAUUCUCAGUCUCCACCUCAUGGUACUAUUAUUUUAGUAAUAAUUUUUAUUUAUUCUUUGGGAAUUUCGGAAAUAUGUAUUUUUGAGCAUAUCUACCUACCACCAAUUCUCCUUGUAGCACUCCCAACAUGGCCCCUUCCCAAAUUCAUGUCCUUAUUACAACUCAGUGAAACCAAUGGUGCUGCCCAUAUAGUGUGCAUAAGUGUGGGGCCGUAGGUGUGGGCCAUGGGCAACCUAUGCAUGGCAGCACCUGCCUUCUUUUCCAUGAUGGUACCUGAACCUUGUGAUGGAGGAGGGUGACAUAGGUGUCCUAUUUAGAACUGAGAAUCCAGUCACCUAUGCACGGUGCUUUGGUCAGUUAUGAGUCUCUGCCUUAACUGCUGCACACAACAAAUUUUGACCAUUUUUACAGUUUCAGGCAUGAGCUCCAUACUGUGGAACAGGCCUCAAAGCCAAGCAGAAAGCACUUGGUUUAGUCCCACAACCAUCACGACACUAAUGCCUUGAUGGACACAUCUUACCUGUCAGCUCAGCACAGCAGCAUAGAGUCCAGCUUUGAGGAAGACCGUUGUCUUCUUUUUUCCCUUCAGGGCCAGCACAGCACCUUCUCACACUGUAAAAGGUAGUAUGGCACUAUUUGAGGGCUGAGGAGCCUUUAGGCAGUGGGCCCUGGCUGAUGGAAGUUGGUCACUAGUGUGAGUCUGUUGCCAAGGGAACAGCCGCCCAGUGCAAGCUCCUACUGCUACGGACUGAGCUCUUUCUGAAACUGGGAGCCGAAAUAUGUCUUUCUUCCCUUAAGUUGUUUCUGUCAAGAAUUUUGGUCACAGCAAUGCAAAAGUAAACAAGACAGCAUGUUAUCCAAAGCUUGGAUUCACUGGCUGAGUCAUGAUAAAGCAGGUCUAUCAUUCUUUCCCACAACACCAGCAAUUAAAUGUAGCGUGGCAUACACACAGGAAUGUGCUCAACCACUAGGGCUAUCGCCCCAGCUCUGUGCACCAUUCGUGACCAUUUAUGUCUACCCCAUGUGGCAGUUUGAGUGUAACUGGCCCCCAUAAGCUCAGAGGGAAUGGCAUUAUUAAACAGUGUGGCUUUCUGGAGUAGGUAUGGCUUUGUUAAAGGAAGUAUGUCUCUGUGAUGGCAGGCUUUGAGGUCUCCUAUGCUCAAGCUAUUCCCAGUGUGGACACAGACUACUUCCUGUUGCCUGCAGAUCAAGAAAUAGAACUCUCAGCUCCUUCUCCAGCACCUUGUCUGCCUGCACAAUG
Molecule: long non-coding RNA, 5638 nt
Organism: Mesocricetus auratus (golden hamster)
Lineage: Eukaryota; Metazoa; Chordata; Mammalia; Rodentia; Cricetidae
Exons: 3
Source: RefSeq, a predicted model, not a curated record